This 253-nucleotide ribosomal RNA is filed under the name uncultured bacterium. RNAcentral describes it as "partial 16S ribosomal RNA". It matches the Rfam family "Bacterial small subunit ribosomal RNA", at positions 524 to 776 of the family's 1533-position model. The record is from RNAcentral.
UACGAAGGGGGCUAGCGUUGCUCGGAAUUACUGGGCGUAAAGGGAGCGUAGGCGGACAUUUAAGUCAGGGGUGAAAUCCCGAGGCUCAACCUCGGAACUGCCUUUGAUACUGGAUGUCUUGAGUGUGAGAGAGGUGAGUGGAACUCCGAGUGUAGAGGUGAAAUUCGUAGAUAUUCGGAAGAACACCAGUGGCGAAGGCGACUCACUGGCUCAUUACUGACGCUGAGGCUCGAAAGCGGGGGGAGCAAACAGG